AUUUACACUUUUUUCACAUUUUAAAAUUACAUUGUGAUGUUUUAUUUACAUUUCAAUUAUUCAAAUAUAUUUCUUUUCAUUUAAAUUUUCAUCUUUUCUUCUCAACUACAAAAAUUUUAGAAUUAAAAAAAAAAUUAUAUUUUAUAAUAUUAUUUAAAAUCUCAUCUUAACUCGUGCAUUGCUCCGGUCUCAAUCUUGUGAAGAUUAUAUUAGGACCAAUCUAAUUCCUCCAUAACCCUUAUUCAUUACCUUAAUUAUUUUGCCUUUUUUUCUUCUGUUA
Molecule: long non-coding RNA, 280 nt
Filed under: Lathyrus oleraceus (garden pea)
Lineage: Eukaryota; Viridiplantae; Streptophyta; Magnoliopsida; Fabales; Fabaceae
Description: Pisum sativum (pea) long non-coding RNA (PSAT_LNC040324)
Source: RNAcentral